Molecule: ribosomal RNA, 253 nt
Filed under: uncultured bacterium
Lineage: Bacteria
Description: partial 16S ribosomal RNA
Rfam family: Bacterial small subunit ribosomal RNA
Source: RNAcentral
UACGUAGGGGGCAAGCGUUGUCCGGAUUUAUUGGGCGUAAAGAGCGUGUAGGCGGUUUGGUAGGUCCGCUGGGAAAACUCGAGGCUCAACCUCGAGACGCCGGUGGAAACCAUCAGACUAGAGUCCGGAAGAGGAGAGUGGAAUUCCUGGUGUAGCGGUGAAAUGCGCAGAUAUCAGGAAGAACACCCGUGGCUAAGGCGGCUCUCUAGUACGGUACUGACGCUGAGGCACGAAAGCGUGGGGAGCAAACAGG